AAUUUCGCACCAACAAUGGUUUUAUAAACAAUAAAAGUGUCCAAAAAUUUUUGCAAAUAAGAACAUCACGAAUUCAUCUAUCAUGAAAUGCGAAAGAUUCCAUCGCGCUCGGUAAUUUCCUCACCGAGUUAAAUCAUAUAAUAGGAAUUUUGCGAUAACAAUAGUUAUAAACAAUACAGAAAUUCAUAAAUUUUUGCAUCUGUGAUCAUUGCGUAAACCUCUCAGGCGGCAAAAUGUAAGGGGUUUCAUCAAUUUCAUCGGUUUCAGGCCAAACAUACGUGAAAUAGUACGCUUUUUGCGAUAAAAAGUGAUAUAAAGUGGUAAAAAAUAAGACAAGGACAAAUGUUUUGCUAUGGGACCAAAUGGCAAAUGCUCUUCCAGAUGCAAGGAGUUUGAAUCCGAUUGGUCCAUCCGUCUCGGAGUAAGAAACAAGACAAAAUGUUUCUGUUUAAAAAAAAGAAAACAGGUAAAAAAUGACAAAUCACAAAAUGUUUCUUUUACGCGACCAACUGGAAGAAAUAUUCGACAAAAUACAAGAGGUUUCACUCCGAUUCAUCAAGCCAUCUCGAUGUAAUCGGCAAGCAGACCUAAAAAUCACGGUUUUUUGGUAAAAAUACGGGUAAAAAAUGACAAAUUGCAAAAAGUCGUGAUAAUGGGACCACCGGGGGGGGGGCAUGCUCUACAAGAUGCAACAGGAUUCAUUCCGAUUGGUCAAGUCAUCUCGGUGUAAUCAGUGAAUAGACAUUAAAAAAAAAACA
Hylaeus anthracinus is the source of this 758-nucleotide long non-coding RNA. RefSeq lists it as uncharacterized. The transcript has 2 exons. The record is from RefSeq and is a predicted model, not a curated record. Lineage: Eukaryota; Metazoa; Arthropoda; Insecta; Hymenoptera; Colletidae.